UACGAAGGGGGCUAGCGUUGUUCGGAUUUACUGGGCGUAAAGCGCACGUAGGCGGAUCGUUAAGUCGGGGGUGAAAUCCUGGAGCUCAACUCCAGAACUGCCUUCGAUACUGGCGAUCUUGAGUCCGGAAGAGGUGAGUGGAACUCCUAGUGUAGAGGUGAAAUUCGUAGAUAUUCGCAAGAACACCAGUGGCGAAGGCGGCUCACUGGCCCGGUACUGACGCUGAGGCGCGAAAGCGUGGGGAGCAAACAGG
This 253-nucleotide ribosomal RNA is filed under the name uncultured bacterium. RNAcentral describes it as "partial 16S ribosomal RNA". It matches the Rfam family "Bacterial small subunit ribosomal RNA", at positions 524 to 776 of the family's 1533-position model. The record is from RNAcentral.